CGGGACACGUGGUAUCCUGUCUGAAUAUGGGGGGACCAUCCUCCAAGGCUAAAUACUCCUGACUGACCGAUAGUGAACCAGUACCGUGAGGGAAAGGCGAAAAGAACCCCGGCGAGGGGAGUGAAAAAGAACCUGAAACCGUGUACGUACAAGCAGUGGGAGCCUCUUAAUGGGGUGACUGCGUACCUUUUGUAUAAUGGGUCAGCGACUUAUAUUCUGUAGCAAGGUUAACCGAAUAGGGGAGCCGAAGGGAAACCGAGUCUUAACUGGGCGUUAAGUUGCAGGGUAUAGACCCGAAACCCGGUGAUCUAGCCAUGGGCAGGUUGAAGGUUGGGUAACACUAACUGGAGGACCGAACCGACUAAUGUUGAAAAAUUAGCGGAUGACUUGUGGCUGGGGGUGAAAGGCCAAUCAAACCGGGAGAUAGCUGGUUCUCCCCGAAAGCUAUUUAGGUAGCGCCUCGUGAAUUCAUCUCCGGGGGUAGAGCACUGUUUCGGCAAGGGGGUCAUCCCGACUUACCAACCCGAUGCAAACUG
This 536-nucleotide ribosomal RNA is filed under the name Escherichia coli. Its description in RNAcentral is "partial 23S ribosomal RNA". It matches the Rfam family "Bacterial large subunit ribosomal RNA", at positions 418 to 956 of the family's 2925-position model. Lineage: Bacteria; Pseudomonadati; Pseudomonadota; Gammaproteobacteria; Enterobacterales; Enterobacteriaceae. The record is from RNAcentral.